RNAcentral lists this long non-coding RNA (515 nucleotides) under Felis catus (domestic cat). RNAcentral's name for it is "lncRNA (ENSFCAG00000049623.1)". Lineage: Eukaryota; Metazoa; Chordata; Mammalia; Carnivora; Felidae. The record is from RNAcentral.
CAAAGCUGGAACUUACAUUCCCUGGAAAUUUUGGUUUCCUCGUUGCCCUUGGAGACUCUCACCAGCUGCGGUUAAACUCGGCUCUCUGCCUCCCGGUGGAAAACGCUACCAGGUGAAGAGACGUGGCCGGGCUGGGCCUUCUGGCAUGCAGAUUCCAACCGACGGGCACCCCGCUCACGUCUCGCAGCCCCAAGAGGUCCCACGCGUGAUGAAAUCUAUUGACUCACCGUUUCUUUCUGCAGUCGUGGGUCUUUCUCUGAAAACGUGGCAGAAUCCAAUCGUCACAGUCAGCUUCUGACACUCAGCUCGCCCGACCUAGACCUGGUCAUCCCCAGAGAGAAACAUCUGGGGAAAGCUUCUAAGGAAAGCCAUUUUCUUCUCCCCAAGUUGGUCCCUUAACUCUGGAAAACUUUGGGAGUAAUACAUCAACAACCCGCUGUUCCAAAGUUUAUGACUGAUUUCUAAAUGUUUCACAAAGUGUUGACUAUUUCUUCUGUGGGACUCCGGAAACAAAC